UACAGAGGUCUCAAGCGUUGUUCGGACUCAUUGGGCGUAAAGGGUGCGUAGGUGGCGCCGUAAGUCGGGUGUGAAAUUUCGGAGCUUAACUCCGAAACUGCAUUCGAUACUGCGGUGCUUGAGGACUGGAGAGGAGACUGGAAUUCAUGGUGUAGCAGUGAAAUGCGUAGAGAUCAUGAGGAAGACCAGUGGCGAAGGCGGGUCUCUGGACAGUUCCUGACACUGAGGCACGAAGGCCAGGGGAGCAAACGGG
Molecule: ribosomal RNA, 253 nt
Filed under: uncultured bacterium
Lineage: Bacteria
Description: partial 16S ribosomal RNA
Rfam family: Bacterial small subunit ribosomal RNA
Source: RNAcentral